RNAcentral lists this ribosomal RNA (253 nucleotides) under uncultured bacterium. RNAcentral describes it as "partial 16S ribosomal RNA". It matches the Rfam family "Bacterial small subunit ribosomal RNA", at positions 524 to 776 of the family's 1533-position model. The record is from RNAcentral.
UACGGAGGGUGCAAGCGUUAUCCGGAUUCACUGGGUUUAAAGGGUGCGUAGGUGGGUUGGUAAGUCAGUGGUGAAAUCUCCGAGCUUAACUUGGAAACUGCCAUUGAUACUAUCAGUCUUGAAUACCGUGGAGGUCAGCGGAAUAUGUCAUGUAGCGGUGAAAUGCUUAGAUAUGACAUAGAACACCAAUUGCGAAGGCAGCUGGCUACACGAAUAUUGACACUGAUGCACGAAAGCGUGGGGAUCAAACAGG